CUAGGCAGAUUGUCCUGGCUGUAUAAGAAAGCUAGCUGAGCAUGAGCCUGUCAGCAAACCAGAGGGGGAAACAGCAAGCUUGAGUUGCUGUCCUGAUGCCUUCAGUGAUACAUUGUGACCUGGAAAGGAAGACCUGACACCCUCUUCUGGCCUCUGCUACACUAGACUGAAUAACAAAUCCUCAAAAGAAGAAAUGUAAACAGUCAAUAAAUAUUUUAAAUAUUUUAUUUUUA
Long non-coding RNA from Nannospalax galili (Upper Galilee mountains blind mole rat), 233 nucleotides. RefSeq lists it as uncharacterized. The transcript has 2 exons. The record is from RefSeq and is a predicted model, not a curated record. Lineage: Eukaryota; Metazoa; Chordata; Mammalia; Rodentia; Spalacidae.